UAAGAGAUGGUCCCGCGGUGCAUUAGUUAGUUGGUGAGGUAAUGGCUCACCAAGACGAUGAUGCAUAGCCGAGUUGAGAGACUGAUCGGCCACAAUGGGACUGAGACACGGCCCAUACUCCUACGGGAGGCAGCAGUAGGGAAUCUUCCACAAUGGGCGAAAGCCUGAUGGAGCAACGCCGCGUGUGUGAUGAAGGGUUUCGGCUCGUAAAACACUGUUGUAAGAGAAGAAUGACAUUGAGAGUAACUGUUCAAU
RNAcentral lists this ribosomal RNA (255 nucleotides) under uncultured bacterium. Its description in RNAcentral is "partial 16S ribosomal RNA". It matches the Rfam family "Bacterial small subunit ribosomal RNA", at positions 219 to 473 of the family's 1533-position model. The record is from RNAcentral.